CCUACGGGAGGCAGCAGUUAGGAAUAUUGGACAAUGGGCGCAAGCCUGAUCCAGCCAUGCCGCGUGUGUGAUGAAGGCCUUAGGGUUGUAAAGCACUUUCGUUGGGGAUGAUAAUGACCGUACCCAAAGAAGAAGCACCGGCUAACUUCGUGCCAGCAGCCGCGGUAAUACGAAGGGUGCAAGCGUUGUUCGGAAUCACUGGGCGUAAAGAAUGCGUAGGCGGCUUGACAAGUCAGGAGUGAAAUCCCCAGGCUCAACCUGGGAACUGCUUUUGAAACUGUCUUGCUAGAGUCCCGGAGGGGUUGGCGGAAUUCCGAGUGUAGAGGUGAAAUUCGCAGAUAUUCGGAGGAACACCAGUGGCGUAGGCGGCCAACUGGACGGGAACUGACGCUGAGGCAUGAAAGUGUGGGGAGCAAACAGGAUUAGAUACCCUGGUAGUCCACACCGUAAACGAUGUGUGCUAGUUGUUGGGCAGCUUUGCUGUUCAGUGACGCAGCUAACGUAUUAAGCACACCGCCUGGGAAGUACGGCCGCAAGGUUAAAACUCAAAGGAAUUGACGG
Molecule: ribosomal RNA, 561 nt
Filed under: uncultured bacterium
Lineage: Bacteria
Description: bacterial SSU rRNA
Rfam family: Bacterial small subunit ribosomal RNA
Source: RNAcentral